AACAGUCAUCCUCUCUCGCACGGAAAUCAAGACAUUGUGUUUCUGAAGCCAGACAGAAGGAAAAGUGGUUUCCAAUUAUGUGGGGGGCUCUAUAUCAACUUCACCAGCAUAUAUGGAUACUGGGGAAUAAUUGUGGGACAGUAAAGGCUGGCUGCACCAUGCAAUAAAAAUCAAUGAAGCAAGAUGCUGGUUGAUUUGUGGUUGUGGCUGAUUUACAAAGUCCUUCUCCCUGGUAAUUUACUAGAUCAAGGUAGCUUCUAUAAACCCAACCUGAAUGAAUAUGGAGUAAUACAGGAUUUGAGUUCCUGAGAUCUCCUAGACAUAAAAGAAGGAAGCAAGGUAAGAACAGGGAAUGGGUACCCAUGGGAGUAGCCCACUGUAAAAAUGGACUUGUCUUCUCUGAAUCUUAUUUGAUACCCACUGUUUUCCGCUGAGGUUUAUGUAGCUUGUUUGAUUACAGAUCUUUGUCCCCAGAUUUCUUCUCCACCCCACCUUUCUUUUCAUACACAGACCCUUGGACUUCUAUAAUGGAAUGGUACCACCCCUAAGAAAGAGUCUGAAAAAUGAACUAGCGCAGUGAAAACCCCCAGUAAAUGUUAUGCAAACUUAUCAUGAGUUAAGCCAGAAGUACAAAUUUGCUACAUUGUGGAAAGGCUAUAAAAUAGCAAUUUGUCUUACUGUAUGUGCAAUUUUAAUGUAUUCCAAAGCAUGUGUAUUGUCUAUUUCUAUU
Long non-coding RNA from Homo sapiens (human), 730 nucleotides. RefSeq lists it as uncharacterized. The transcript has 3 exons. The record is from RefSeq and is a predicted model, not a curated record. Lineage: Eukaryota; Metazoa; Chordata; Mammalia; Primates; Hominidae.